UACGUAGGGUGCGAGCGUUAAUCGGAAUUACUGGGCGUAAAGCGUGCGCAGGCGGUUAUGUAAGACAGAUGUGAAAUCCCCGGGCUCCACCUGGGACCUGCAUUUGUGACUGCAUAGCUAGAGUACGGUAGAGGGGGGUAGAAUUCCACGUGUAGCAGUGAAAUGCGUAGAUAUGUGGAGGAAUACCGAUGGCGAAGGCAGCCCCCUGGGUCAACACUGACGCUCAUGCACGAAAGCGUGGGGAGCAAACAGG
Molecule: ribosomal RNA, 253 nt
Filed under: uncultured bacterium
Lineage: Bacteria
Description: partial 16S ribosomal RNA
Rfam family: Bacterial small subunit ribosomal RNA
Source: RNAcentral